This is a non-coding RNA of Pelobates cultripes (western spadefoot toad), 381 nucleotides long. The record is from the annotation of a GenBank genome assembly. NCBI's taxonomy places the organism in Eukaryota, Metazoa, Chordata, Amphibia, Anura, Pelobatidae.
UACAAAACUACAACAUUACUUACAAAAGGCUAUAACAGUUGCUAGCUGUUAUAAUAGAUUACUUACACGGCUCCAGCCUGUUUGGCUGGAGCUAUACACACAGCUACAUGUUCAAUCAAUGCAAGCAAAGGAAAAAGGAGGCUCAAUUCCUCCUACUAUUUGGUUUUAUCCAGUAAGUAGGCUGGCCUGUGAUGUCACUGCCAGAAGCACAUGAGUUAGCACACUGACCCCUAGUGGUGCCUCUAAAGCAUUAAGCUCAUUAUGCUUUACUGACAUGUAGUUGUGCGUCUAAAGCAUUAAGCUCAUUAUGCUUUUUUAUGACAAAAAGUCAUUAAUUAAUAAAUACCAUUACACUUAGCUACCAUCUUUUUUAUCUUUUCU